CUGAGGUUCAGGGUCAGCUCACCCUAGACACAUGGAUCGAGUGGGGAGGGUGAAUCCUCAAAUGCUAAUCAGGUUCUGUUGUACAGAAGGGGAAGCGGAGGCAGGAGGAUGCAGCAAGACCUGUUCCCUCCUCUAACGGCACUCAUAGGACAGCCCAGCCACACAUUCAAAGAAUCUUGAAGGAAUAGGAUGGUUGGUAUGGUUGGUGUGGAAGAAGGUUCAUAAAUUCUGGAUUUAGCUUUGUGGGAUUCAGCUGACCUGAAAUUUAUACCUGUGCAGGUCCCCAGCAGCUGCCUGUUCUCCCCCUCCACUGGGCUAGAGCUGUGUCACACAGGCUGAGCGGCCAGGAAGCUGGGCACCAUCCAGGGAGUGUGUGAUCGUCGGGGUCCUGUUGGUUCCUGCUUUUGAGUAAUGAAGGUGACCAAACCACAUGACCCUGUCUGCAAAGAUUCCACCUGGACUCCCAGUUCCUCCAAGGAACCGUCAUGUGGUUCAAAUCCAAUGAAAUUCUCUAAAUCUCCACCCUCCUCAGGGUGCAGAGUUGGCUGCUUCUCUGUGCCCCCUGCUGAUCACGGCAACCCCUGGGUGCCUCGGCCUGCGAAGCCCCAGCUGUCCUCCGUCUGCAGACAAGCCGAGGUAUGAAAGCCUCCUCGCUGGCCCAGGAGCCUGUCAUUGUCCUCCAGCAGCUCUAGCCUGGAUGCGGUCCCAGAGAUAAAUCAUAUCUCUUUAAAAAGCC
This 736-nucleotide long non-coding RNA is filed under the name Homo sapiens (human). RNAcentral describes it as "HSALNT0268100". Lineage: Eukaryota; Metazoa; Chordata; Mammalia; Primates; Hominidae. The record is from RNAcentral.